RNAcentral lists this ribosomal RNA (269 nucleotides) under uncultured bacterium. RNAcentral's name for it is "partial 16S ribosomal RNA". It matches the Rfam family "Bacterial small subunit ribosomal RNA", at positions 85 to 354 of the family's 1533-position model. The record is from RNAcentral.
AAAAGGCUUAGUGGCGGACGGGUGAGUAACGCGUGGGUAACCUGGCCCAUACAGGGGGAGUAACACUUAGAAAUAGGUGCUAAUACCGCAUAACAACAGAAAGCGCAUGCUUUUUGUUUGAAAACCAAGGUGGUAUGGGAUGGACCCGCGUCUGAUUAGCUGGUUGGCGGGGUAAAGGCCCACCAAGGCGACGAUCAGUAGCCGGCCUGAGAGGGUGGACGGCCACAUUGGGACUGAGACACGGCCCAAACUCCUACGGAAGGCAGCAG